This 687-nucleotide long non-coding RNA is filed under the name Hordeum vulgare. RNAcentral's name for it is "long non-coding RNA (HVUL_LNC003676)". The record is from RNAcentral. Lineage: Eukaryota; Viridiplantae; Streptophyta; Magnoliopsida; Poales; Poaceae.
GACAAUAAUAAUACUAAAAAUAUCAAAAUGAAACUAACAUGACAUGAUUACCUGAAAUAACAAUCAAAUUUUGACUGACUCCAUCAACAACAAUAGUACUUCAGUGCUUCAGAAAAAAAAUCAAACGUUUCUUGUUGUAAAGUCAUUAAGGACACAAUCAAGAUCAAUAAUAGUCCAAGAUAUCCUUUUGAGUGCAGCACCCAACAAUUGCUUCUUCUUAGACAACAUGGCAGGUUAAUAUCCUAAAAUUAUGAGAAAAGAGGAUACAAAAAAUUAGAAUUUAUAUAUCAGAUGAUUGAAACCCUAGACAUACAUGGAUAAAUAGUUGAAUACGUACAUACUAAAUAUAGAAUAAAAUAUACUACCGAAAUGGUCAAAUUGGGGUUUGGGGGCAUGGAUCGGGAACAUAGGUGGAUCAUCGAUACGUUCAUACGUACUGCUCCUGUUCCUGAUGGAUGAGUAGAUCAUGGAUACGUACCAGUAUUACUGCUGAUUACUGCUGCUGAAGUGACGAUGGAUGGAUAUUGGAUGGAUCUUACCGGAUGGCCGGACGCCCGAACCUCAUUGGCUUAGCUCGUACAAUCGUACUGCUGCGGAUUACUGUUGCUGAUGCGUGCUGGAUGCCGGAUGGCCGGACUGCCGUGGGGUGCCUUUUGGCGGCGGCCGAUCGAGGCGACAAGACGCCGA